UGUUAAUCUCCGUCCAUAUUCGAUUAAGUUGAUAGUAUAGUAGCAUAUAUAUAUAUAUAGAAUUAGGCUGGAAUACUAUUAAUAGUAAGACGCUCUUUUUGCUAUCAAGUUUUUAAUCCUUGGAUGAAAAAUUAUAGCAUCAUGAUGAUAUUAGUCGGUUAGAGUUGAAUGAUCCUCCUAGGAUUGAGUGGUCCCUACUGGGUUAUAGUAUUUCAUCCAAUGGUUAGAAAUAAUGAAAAGAGUUGAUCUAAAGACUAAAAAACUGAUAGCAAUAAUGAAAUUUUACUACUAAUAGUAGCCCAGUCCAACUCUCUCUCUCUCUCUCUCUCUCUCUCUCUAUAUAUAUAUAUAUAUAUAUAUAUAUAUAUAUAUAUAUAUGCCAUGGCUACUAUACUAUUAUGAGUAUUGGAGCCUUCGUACUCAUAAGUUAUUUUCGAUGAUGGGGCUUCCGAAUCGACUAUCCACUCCGUUAAAUAUGAUAUAGAAUAUUUGAACUUUUAGAAAAUAAAUUUCGUAAAUUUUCGAAAUCAUAAUAAAGCCCAUCAAGUGGACAUAAAAUGAACGAUCAAAAUCGAACGACGUCCUAAAAAAGGAUGAUCGGAUCUUUCAAUUCAAGAUCGGAGUUAUUGAUCUUUAUCUAUGUAGUGAAUAGAAUUUUUUAUCAAAAAUUCAACAAAUUCCGAUUCUUUUACACCGUUAAACUAGCAAGUAUCCCAUACCGGCCGUUAAAAAUUGUCAAAUUUUUGACCUCUUGAUCGUAAGAUAAAUGAUGUUGAAAAAUUAUAAAAUUUGAUUUCUAGAAGUUUUAAAUGCUGUAAAUAACGUUUAACGGUGUGGAUCGUCGAUUCGGAAGCUUUAUCAUCGAAAAUAACUUAUGAGUAUGAGGGCGAUCGUACUCAUAAUAGUAUAGUAGCCGGACCCUAUAUAUAUAUAUAUAUAUAUAUAUAUAUAUAUAUAUAAGUUCGGCUACUAUACUAUUGAUAGUAUUAAGUCCUUGGUACUAUUAAGUUUUCUACCGUUAGAUCUACCAUUUGAUCAUUUUCACCCGUUAGAUUAUACUAUUAAACCAACCACCCACUCAACCCUAGGGGAUCACUAUCAUCCUAACCGCACAUCCUUUCAUCCAACGGCCGAAAACUCAAUAGUAUCAACUCAAUAGUAUCAAGGGAUUGGUACUAUUGAUAGUAUAGUAGCAUAUAUGUCACGCCCCGGAUGUCUCGUUCCCCGGGCACGCCGACAAAUAGUAGCAUAGAGCUGCUCAAUAAACAAAAGUACCUGUAGAUGUACAAUACUACAAACAGUAGCAUAGAGCUGCUCAAUAAACAAAAGCUAAACAACUGAGUUUCAUAUACAUAGUCCAAAUCCAAAAUACAGGGUUACUCGCACUGACGCGUUAAGCAAGCUAUGUACAUAAACUCAAAACAAAACAUCUACCUAAAGUAGGGGUGCCUCUAGCUCUGUCAAUCGGGUAGGGCUCUAGCUCGCGACGCCCUUGCCUCGAUCCUGAUCCGCGGAAGGCGCAGCAGCAGAAACCUGUGGCUCUGCAAAACAAGAGUAACAACUGGGCGUGAGAACUACUGUAAAAACAAGUAGUCCUCAGUGGGUACGGCCCAAAACAACAUCGGUCACCCACUAAGUCUACAGAAGGGAGCAAGAAUAGUAGGAAAAGCAGGAAGUACACUCUACCGCUAUCAAUCACUACACUAUCAUGCUCUACACUAACCAAUUGUAGAAAAUGUCAAAUCUGACCCAAUCCAAUCGGGACUGUAAGCAUACCCGUCCCCGGGACUGUGAAUACACCCGUCCCUGCCCCGUUGCGACUAUCAGGCUCUAUCCACACUAACUGGUCCGUGGAGAGCAAGUCCAACUGGCAUGAGCGACACCAACGCGAAAGCACAAGCCUGACUCCGGAGUGGCACUCGUGGGCGCUACCCAACCGAGUAUGCAGCGUAUCUCUGUCGAGCUCAAACAGGCUCUAAAAAGCCAAAGUCAAGAAAUCGACUCUAACUGGUCUAACAACCAAGAAGUACGUGCCCUCGGCACAAUCAGACGCUAAAAAGGUGAUACGGGUCCACCGUCCACUCUGACGGCACCCAACAGUCCGGAAC
Molecule: long non-coding RNA, 2108 nt
Filed under: Ananas comosus (pineapple)
Lineage: Eukaryota; Viridiplantae; Streptophyta; Magnoliopsida; Poales; Bromeliaceae
Description: long non-coding RNA (ACOM_LNC016315)
Source: RNAcentral